UCUAUGGAGAGUUUGAUCCUGGCUCAGGACGAACGCUGGCGGCGUGCCUAAUACAUGCAAGUCGAGCGGACCGAAUAGGAGCUUGCUUCUGUUCGGUUAGCGGCGGACGGGUGAGUAACACGUGGGCAACCUGCCCGUAAGACCGGGAUAACUUCGGGAAACCGGAGCUAAUACCGGAUAACACCGAAGACCGCAUGGUCUUUGGUUGAAAGGCGGCGCAAGCUGUCACUUACGGAUGGGCCCGCGGCGCAUUAGCUAGUUGGUGAGGUAACGGCUCACCAAGGCGACGAUGCGUAGCCGACCUGAGAGGGUGAUCGGCCACACUGGGACUGAGACACGGCCCAGACUCCUA
RNAcentral lists this non-coding RNA (352 nucleotides) under Anoxybacteroides amylolyticum. Its description in RNAcentral is "Anoxybacillus amylolyticus Bacterial small subunit ribosomal RNA". It matches the Rfam family "Bacterial small subunit ribosomal RNA", at positions 1 to 341 of the family's 1533-position model. The record is from Rfam by way of RNAcentral. Lineage: Bacteria; Bacillati; Bacillota; Bacilli; Caryophanales; Anoxybacillaceae.